This 465-nucleotide ribosomal RNA is filed under the name uncultured bacterium. Its description in RNAcentral is "partial 16S ribosomal RNA". It matches the Rfam family "Bacterial small subunit ribosomal RNA", at positions 28 to 507 of the family's 1533-position model. The record is from RNAcentral.
GACGAACGCUGGCGGCGUGCUUAACACAUGCAAGUCGAACGGAAAGGCCCUGCUUGCAGGGUCCUCGAGUGGCGAACGGGUGAGUAACACGUGGGUGAUCUGCCCUGCACUUCGGGAUAAGCCUGGGAAACUGGGUCUAAUACCGGAUAGGAGCCAUUUUUAGUGUGAUGGUUGGAAAGUUUUUUCGGUGUAGGAUGAGCUCGCGGCCUAUCAGCUUGUUGGUGGGGUAAUGGCCUACCAAGGCGGCGACGGGUAGCCGGCCUGAGAGGGUGGACGGCCACAUUGGGACUGAGAUACGGCCCAGACUCCUACGGGAGGCAGCAGUGGGGAAGAUUGCACAAUGGGCGCAAGCCUGAUGCAGCGACGCCGCGUGGGGGAUGACGGCCUUCGGGUUGGAAACUCCUUUCGCUAGGGACGAAGCUUUUUGUGACGGUACCUAGAUAAGAAGCACCGGCUAACUACGUG